This 251-nucleotide ribosomal RNA is filed under the name uncultured prokaryote. Its description in RNAcentral is "partial 16S rRNA". It matches the Rfam family "Bacterial small subunit ribosomal RNA", at positions 525 to 775 of the family's 1533-position model. The record is from RNAcentral.
ACGGAGGGGGCGAGCGUUGUCCGGAAUCACUGGGCGUAAAGCGCACGUAGGCGGGCUGUCAAGUCGGCCGUGAAAGGCAUGGGCUCAACCUGUGCAUGUCGGUCGAUACUGGCGGUCUGGAGUAUGGGUGAGGGAGCUGGAAUUCGCGGUGUAGCGGUGAAAUGCUUAGAUAUCGCGCGGAACACCGGUGGCGAAGGCGGCUUCCUGGCCCAUGACUGACGCUGAGGUGCGAAAGCGUGGGGAGCGAACGG